This 1740-nucleotide ribosomal RNA is filed under the name Escherichia coli. RNAcentral's name for it is "partial 23S ribosomal RNA". It matches the Rfam family "Bacterial large subunit ribosomal RNA", at positions 1074 to 2798 of the family's 2925-position model. The record is from RNAcentral. Lineage: Bacteria; Pseudomonadati; Pseudomonadota; Gammaproteobacteria; Enterobacterales; Enterobacteriaceae.
UGUGGGAAGGCCCAGACAGCCAGGAUGUUGGCUUAGAAGCAGCCAUCAUUUAAAGAAAGCGUAAUAGCUCACUGGUCGAGUCGGCCUGCGCGGAAGAUGUAACGGGGCUAAACCAUGCACCGAAGCUGCGGCAGCGACGCUGAUGCGUUGUUGGGUAGGGGAGCGUUCUGUAAGCCUGUGAAGGUGUGCUGUGAGGCAUGCUGGAGGUAUCAGAAGUGCGAAUGCUGACAUAAGUAACGAUAAAGCGGGUGAAAAGCCCGCUCGCCGGAAGACCAAGGGUUCCUGUCCAACGUUAAUCGGGGCAGGGUGAGUCGACCCCUAAGGCGAGGCCGAAAGGCGUAGUCGAUGGGAAACAGGUUAAUAUUCCUGUACUUGGUGUUACUGCGAAGGGGGGACGGAGAAGGCUAUGUUGGCCGGGCGACGGUUGUCCCGGUUUAAGCGUGUAGGCUGGUUUUCCAGGCAAAUCCGGAAAAUCAAGGCUGAGGCGUGAUGACGAGGCACUACGGUGCUGAAGCAACAAAUGCCCUGCUUCCAGGAAAAGCCUCUAAGCAUCAGGUAACAUCAAAUCGUACCCCAAACCGACACAGGUGGUCAGGUAGAGAAUACCAAGGCGCUUGAGAGAACUCGGGUGAAGGAACUAGGCAAAAUGGUGCCGUAACUUCGGGAGAAGGCACGCUGAUAUGUAGGUGAAGUCCCUCGCGGAUGGAGCUGAAAUCAGUCGAAGAUACCAGCUGGCUGCAACUGUUUAUUAAAAACACAGCACUGUGCAAACACGAAAGUGGACGUAUACGGUGUGACGCCUGCCCGGUGCCGGAAGGUUAAUUGAUGGGGUCAGCGCAAGCGAAGCUCUUGAUCGAAGCCCCGGUAAACGGCGGCCGUAACUAUAACGGUCCUAAGGUAGCGAAAUUCCUUGUCGGGUAAGUUCCGACCUGCACGAAUGGCGUAAUGAUGGCCAGGCUGUCUCCACCCGAGACUCAGUGAAAUUGAACUCGCUGUGAAGAUGCAGUGUACCCGCGGCAAGACGGAAAGACCCCGUGAACCUUUACUAUAGCUUGACACUGAACAUUGAGCCUUGAUGUGUAGGAUAGGUGGGAGGCUUAGAAGUGUGGACGCCAGUCUGCAUGGAGCCGACCUUGAAAUACCACCCUUUAAUGUUUGAUGUUCUAACGUUGACCCGUAAUCCGGGUUGCGGACAGUGUCUGGUGGGUAGUUUGACUGGGGCGGUCUCCUCCUAAAGAGUAACGGAGGAGCACGAAGGUUGGCUAAUCCUGGUCGGACAUCAGGAGGUUAGUGCAAUGGCAUAAGCCAGCUUGACUGCGAGCGUGACGGCGCGAGCAGGUGCGAAAGCAGGUCAUAGUGAUCCGGUGGUUCUGAAUGGAAGGGCCAUCGCUCAACGGAUAAAAGGUACUCCGGGGAUAACAGGCUGAUACCGCCCAAGAGUUCAUAUCGACGGCGGUGUUUGGCACCUCGAUGUCGGCUCAUCACAUCCUGGGGCUGAAGUAGGUCCCAAGGGUAUGGCUGUUCGCCAUUUAAAGUGGUACGCGAGCUGGGUUUAGAACGUCGUGAGACAGUUCGGUCCCUAUCUGCCGUGGGCGCUGGAGAACUGAGGGGGGCUGCUCCUAGUACGAGAGGACCGGAGUGGACGCAUCACUGGUGUUCGGGUUGUCAUGCCAAUGGCACUGCCCGGUAGCUAAAUGCGGAAGAGAUAAGUGCUGAAAGCAUCUAAGCACGAAACUUGCC